CUCUGCAUUAGACAGCUAGCUAUUAUGAUUAUACACUACGUUUCCUAUGUUAUGUGCUUGGUUUUCCUCUUUUGCUCACUCCUUCCAUUGUUGGUGAAGGACCGGUCAGUCCAUAGUUCAUCGUUUGGCUUGCUUCUCGCUAAGCUCUUUCUUCCUUGUCUCCUGUUCGGUAAAAUGUCUAAGAGCUGACACAGUUUUGUUUCUUGUUUCCUUGCCUGUCCAGGUUCUUUGUUGGUUCGUUGGCAGUUCCUAAUUUUUUUCCUGUAGCCGGUUGAGGGAUUCCACCAUUAGCAUAAAGAUCAAGGCGGCGAGCGGUGGCCGUGGAAAGCAGGGGUUCCACAAUUGGCUACAUCGUCUCAAGGAGAAGAAUUCUUACAUGAUCCCUAUAACUGCUCGUUUUGUUGAUGUCUUCGCCCUAUGUGUCCAGACCAUGCUUGCCAAUAAAGUUGAAUGUGCUGGAGCAAUAGUUCUAAAACUUCAUUAAGUCGAAGUAGGCAACAUUUUUUCUUAGUGGCCUUCUUUCUCCGUCGUAUCUCAAAUGCAAGCAAGCAUGCCUUUGCUAAGGGUUAGAAGAAGCCAAUGAAAAUUUAUGCAAAUGAUGGCUCUAAGGGUUAGAAGAAGCCAAGGAGUAUGUGAUAGGCUUUUUUGAUAGUUUAUCAGAAGAAAGUGUAGAAGAAAAUGGAGAGGAUGAUGAAGUGACUCAAAUAGAAGUACGAAAUAUCUGCUUCAGCAAGCUAGGUAUGUUCGAGGAAAUAAUACUAUGCAACAUAUUUUGUUUAUAUGCUUGUGUAGACUGACCAGCUAAGUUUAUCCAUGAAGGCCUUCGUAGAUAGACAUCAUACAUGAUAACAAUGUGUGGGUAACAUCUCAACAAGGGUGUAUUUAUCUGAACUAUCAGCUGCAAUUCUUUUGGUUCCCAAUUCUUCCAGUUGUCCAAAUUAGCUGAUUGUCCAGAAGCUUAUUAGUGAAUCUGAUGGGUCAUCUCAUGCUUGCAAGCUUAAUCUUUUCACAUUGGAUUUUCUUGUGCUUAGUUUUGUUCUGACCAGACUUAUUUCUUAGUGCUCCUCCGUGUUCCUCUGCAUAACUGGAUGUGGGGAAGCACCUUACGUGAUUAUGUGAUGAUUCUUACAAUCCUGCCAAUUGUGUCACAUAUGGAUAAGAGGAUAUAUAUUCUAGAAUAUCACAAAAACACACAUUUUUACUCAGGUUGUCAUUGAUUGGUUGAUUCAACAACA
Triticum aestivum (bread wheat) is the source of this 1235-nucleotide long non-coding RNA. RefSeq lists it as uncharacterized. The record is from RefSeq and is a predicted model, not a curated record. NCBI's taxonomy places the organism in Eukaryota, Viridiplantae, Streptophyta, Magnoliopsida, Poales, Poaceae. The transcript is spliced from 4 exons.